AGCGAACGCUGGCGGCAGGCUUAACACAUGCAAGUCGAGCGGGCGUAGCAAUACGUCAGCGGCAGACGGGUGAGUAACGCGUGGGAACAUACCUUUUGGUUCGGAACAACACAGGGAAACUUGUGCUAAUACCGGAUAAGCCCUUACGGGGAAAGAUUUAUCGCCGAAAGAUUGGCCCGCGUCUGAUUAGCUAGUUGGUGAGGUAACGGCUCACCAAGGCGACGAUCAGUAGCUGGUCGAGAGGAUGAUCAGCCACAUUGGGACUGAGACACGGCCCAAACUCCUACGGGAGGCAGCAGUGGGGAAUAUUGGACAAUGGGCGCAAGCCUGAUCCAGCCAUGCCGCGUGAGUGAUGAAGGCCCUAGGGUUGUAAAGCUCUUUUGUGCGGGAAGAUAAUGACGGUACCGCAAGAAUAAGCCCCGGCUAAACUUCGUGCCAGCAGCCGCUGU
RNAcentral lists this ribosomal RNA (449 nucleotides) under uncultured bacterium. RNAcentral describes it as "bacterial SSU rRNA". It matches the Rfam family "Bacterial small subunit ribosomal RNA", at positions 29 to 521 of the family's 1533-position model. The record is from RNAcentral.